AAGGAUUAUUCACUUCCCGAGGGGCUCGCGGUCCAUCAGCUUGUUGGUGAGGGUAACGGCCCACCAAGGCGACAACGGGUAGCUGGUCUGAGAGGAUGGUCAGCCACACUGGAACUGAGACACGGUCCAGACACCUACGGGUGGCAGCAGUCGAGAAUCAUUCGCAAUGGGGGAAACCCUGACGAUGCGACGCCGCGUGGAGGAUGAAGGCCUUAGGGUUGUAAACUCCUGUCAAGAGGGAAUAAGCAAGUGAAGGUACCUCUAGAGGAAGGGGCGGCUAAUUCCGUGCCAGCAGCCGCGGUAACACGGAAGCCCCGAGCGUUGUUCGGAUUCAUUGGGCGUAAAGGGUGCGUAGGCGGCGCGGAAAGUCCGGCGUGAAAGGCAGAGGCUCAACCUCUGGACUGCGUUGGAUACUUCCGUGCUUGAGGACUGGAGGGGAGACUGGAAUUCACGGUGUAGCAGUGAAAUGCGUAGAUAUCGUGAGGAAGACCGGUGGCGAAGGCGAGUCUCUGGACAGAUCCUGACGCUGAGGCACGAAGGCUGGGGGAGCGAACAGGAUUAGAUACCCUGGUAGUCCCAGCAGUAAACGAUGUGAGCUUGAUGUGGGGGGAUUCGACCCCUUCCGUGUCGAAGCUAACGCGAUAAGCUCACCGCCUGAGGAGUACGGCCGCAAGGCUAAAACUCAAAGAAAUUGACGGGGACCCGCACAAGCGGUGGAGUAUGUGGCUUAAUUCGAUGCAACGCGAAGAACCUUACCUGGCCUUGACAUGCAUUGUGUCGUCGGUGAAAGCCGGCUAGUCCUGGAAACAGGACGCUUUGCACAGGUGCUGCAUGGCUGUCGUCAGCUCGUGUCGUGAGAUGUUGGGUUAAGUCCCGCAACGAGCGCAACCCUUGUGGUCAGUUACUAACCGGCUUAGCCGGAGGACUCUGGCCAGACUGCCCUGUCAAACGGGGAGGAAGGUGGGGACGACGUCAAGUCAGUAUGGCCCUUAUGGCCAGGGCUGCACACGUACUACAAUGCCCGGUACAAUGUGAACCGAAACCGCGAGGUGGAGGAAAUCGCUCUUGAAAACCGGGCCCAGUUCGGAUUGGAGUCUGCAACCCGACUCCAUGAAGUCGGAAUCGCUAGUAAUGGCGUAUCAGCA
RNAcentral lists this ribosomal RNA (1145 nucleotides) under uncultured organism. Its description in RNAcentral is "bacterial SSU rRNA". It matches the Rfam family "Bacterial small subunit ribosomal RNA", at positions 202 to 1354 of the family's 1533-position model. The record is from RNAcentral.